UGCACAUAAUACUGUAAGUCGCUUAAGAUAAAAGCGUCUGCUAAAUGACAUAUA
Salmo salar (Atlantic salmon) is the source of this 54-nucleotide non-coding RNA. The record is from Rfam. Lineage: Eukaryota; Metazoa; Chordata; Actinopteri; Salmoniformes; Salmonidae.